This 140-nucleotide ribosomal RNA is filed under the name Serratia marcescens. RNAcentral describes it as "partial 16S ribosomal RNA". It matches the Rfam family "Bacterial small subunit ribosomal RNA", at positions 1402 to 1533 of the family's 1533-position model. The record is from RNAcentral. Lineage: Bacteria; Pseudomonadati; Pseudomonadota; Gammaproteobacteria; Enterobacterales; Yersiniaceae.
CCAUGGGAGUGGGUUGCAAAAGAAGUAGGUAGCUUAACCUUCGGGAGGGCGCUUACCACUUUGUGAUUCAUGACUGGGGUGAAGUCGUAACAAGGUAACCGUAGGGGAACCUGCGGUUGGAUCACCUCCUUACCUAAAGA